RNAcentral lists this ribosomal RNA (405 nucleotides) under uncultured bacterium. RNAcentral's name for it is "bacterial SSU rRNA". It matches the Rfam family "Bacterial small subunit ribosomal RNA", at positions 370 to 772 of the family's 1533-position model. The record is from RNAcentral.
AAUGGAGGCAACUCUGACGCAGCCAUGCCGCGUGCAGGAAGAAGGCGCUACGCGUUGUAAACUGCUUUUAACCGGGAAGAAACCCCAGGACGUGUCCUGGGUUGACGGUACCGGAGGAAUAAGCACCGGCUAACUUCGUGCCAGCAGCCGCGGUAAUACGAAGGGUGCAAGCGUUAUCCGGAUUCAUUGGGUUUAAAGGGUGCGUAGGCGGGGCGUUAAGUCAGUGGUGAAAUCCUGCAGCUUAACUGUAGAAUUGCCAUUGAUACUGGCGCUCUUGAGUACGCUUGGCGUGGGCGGAAUGUGCCGUGUAGCGGUGAAAUGCUUAGAUAUGGCACAGAACACCGAUCGCGAAGGCAGCUCACGAAAGCGAAACUGACGCUGAGGCACGAAAGCGUGGGGAUCGAA